GAUGAAGAACGCAGCAAAAUGCGAUAAGUAAUGUGAAUUGCAGAAUUCAGUGAAUCAUCGAAUCUUUGAACGCACAUUGCGCCCGCCAGUAUUCUGGCGGGCAUGCCUGUUCGAGCGUCAUUUCAACCCUCAAGCACAGCUUGGUGUUGGGACUCGCGUUAAUUCGCGUUCCUCAAAUUGAUUGGCGGUCACGUCGAGCUUCCAUAGCGUAGUAGUAAAACCCUCGUUACUGGUAAUCGUCGCGGCCACGCCGUUUAACCCCAACUUCUGAAUGUUGACCUCGGAUCAGGUAGGAAUACUCGCUGAACUUAAGCAUAUCAAUAAGCGGAGGA
This 332-nucleotide unclassified non-coding RNA is filed under the name soil metagenome. RNAcentral's name for it is "partial contains 5.8S ribosomal RNA, internal transcribed spacer 2, and large subunit ribosomal RNA". The stretch from base 1 to 120 matches the Rfam family "5.8S ribosomal RNA", at positions 35 to 154 of the family's 154-position model. The record is from RNAcentral.